RNAcentral lists this ribosomal RNA (363 nucleotides) under Triticum aestivum (bread wheat). RNAcentral describes it as "partial small subunit ribosomal RNA". Lineage: Eukaryota; Viridiplantae; Streptophyta; Magnoliopsida; Poales; Poaceae. The record is from RNAcentral.
AUGAGGUCGCUGCCGCUGCCGCUGCCGCUGCUCGGAGCGGUCCUCAUCGUGGCCGCCACGCUGCCGGAGGGGGCGGCGGCCAAGUGGACGGCGGUGAACCCGAACGUGGUGGUGGUCCAGCAGGUGGGGCGGUUCGCGGUGAUCGUGUACGACCUGGCGCACAGCGCGGGCCUGACGUACGUGGGGGUGGCGCGCGGCGAGACGGAGGAGGCGGUGGGCGGCGGCACCAUCUACCGCCUGGUGGUGGCGGCGGCGAAGGCCGACGGGAGCAGGGCGCAGUACGAGUGCCUGGUGUGGGGCGUGCCGGGGUCCAGCCUCAGCACCUGGAAGCUCCGCAGGUUCAGGAAGAUCGCAAUAGCAUAG